CGGGAUGUAGCCUAGUUCGGCUUAGGGCGCCGCAUUUGGGAUGCGGAGAUCGGAGGUUCGAAUCCUCUCAUCCCGACCA
RNAcentral lists this transfer RNA (79 nucleotides) under Candidatus Cloacimonadota bacterium. Its description in RNAcentral is "tRNA-Pro". It matches the Rfam family "tRNA". Rfam says of the family: Transfer RNA (tRNA) molecules are approximately 80 nucleotides in length. Their secondary structure includes four short double-helical elements and three loops (D, anti-codon, and T loops). Further hydrogen bonds mediate the characteristic L-shaped molecular structure. tRNAs have two regions of fundamental functional importance: the anti-codon, which is responsible for specific mRNA codon recognition, and the 3' end, to which the tRNAs corresponding amino acid is attached (by aminoacyl-tRNA synthetases). tRNAs cope with the degeneracy of the genetic code in two manners: having more than one tRNA (with a specific anti-codon) for a particular amino acid; and 'wobble' base-pairing, i.e. permitting non-standard base-pairing at the 3rd anti-codon position. Lineage: Bacteria; Pseudomonadati; Candidatus Cloacimonadota. The record is from RNAcentral.